Molecule: ribosomal RNA, 253 nt
Filed under: uncultured bacterium
Lineage: Bacteria
Description: partial 16S ribosomal RNA
Rfam family: Bacterial small subunit ribosomal RNA
Source: RNAcentral
UACGUAGGGGGCGAGCGUUGUCCGGAGUUACUGGGCGUAAAGCGCUUGUAGGCGGUCCACCAAGUUUGGGGUGACAGUUGCCGACUUAAUCGGCAAAGUGCCUCAAAGACUGGCGGACUUGAGGGCCACAGAGGGACAUGGAACUCCAGGUGUAGUGGUGAAAUGCGUAGAUAUCUGGAAGAGCACCAAAGGCGAAGGCAGUGUCCUGGGUGGUCGCUGACGCUGAGAGGCGAAAGCCAGGGGAGCGAACGGG